UGGGUAACCUGCCUCAAAGAGGGGAAUAGCCUCCCGAAAGGGAGAUUAAUACCGCAUAAUAUGUUUAAGUCGCAUGACUUUAACAUCAAAGGAUUUUCUUUUAGAAAUUCCACUUUGAGAUGGACCCGCGGCGCAUUAGCUAGUUGGUGAGGUAACGGCUCACCAAGGCAACGAUGCGUAGCCGACCUGAGAGGGUGAUCGGCCACAUUGGAACUGAGACACGGUCCAGCUCCGUAGGGAGG
Molecule: ribosomal RNA, 242 nt
Filed under: uncultured bacterium
Lineage: Bacteria
Description: partial 16S ribosomal RNA
Rfam family: Bacterial small subunit ribosomal RNA
Source: RNAcentral